GUGAGUAUAGUUAAAAAUAACGCUAGACUGUGAAUCUAGAAAUAGAAGCGCAACCCUUCUUAUUCACC
This 68-nucleotide transfer RNA is filed under the name Galegeeska rufescens (East African long-eared elephant shrew). RNAcentral describes it as "tRNA-His". It matches the Rfam family "tRNA". From Rfam's summary of the family: Transfer RNA (tRNA) molecules are approximately 80 nucleotides in length. Lineage: Eukaryota; Metazoa; Chordata; Mammalia; Macroscelidea; Macroscelididae. The record is from RNAcentral.